CAGAACAUACUGGCGUUGCAAUCCGAUGACACGAUGAAGACCAUCCUGGCGCAGGUCGAGGCCAGACGAAAGCAGCAACAACAGGGAGACGGCAAAGGGAAGCGCAAAGAUGGAAAGAAACAAACGGAUGUGACGGUUGAAUACGAUGAGAUACCCAGGCUUUCCAAGCUGUAAUCGAUAC
Molecule: ribosomal RNA, 181 nt
Filed under: Craspedostauros australis
Lineage: Eukaryota; Bacillariophyta; Bacillariophyceae; Mastogloiales; Achnanthaceae
Description: partial Bacterial small subunit ribosomal RNA
Source: RNAcentral